This 450-nucleotide ribosomal RNA is filed under the name uncultured bacterium. Its description in RNAcentral is "partial 16S ribosomal RNA". It matches the Rfam family "Bacterial small subunit ribosomal RNA", at positions 354 to 796 of the family's 1533-position model. The record is from RNAcentral.
GUGGGGAAUAUUGGACAAUGGGCGAAAGCCUGAUCCAGCCAUGCCGCGUGUGUGAAGAAGGUCUUCGGAUUGUAAAGCACUUUAAGUUGGGAGGAAGGGCAGUAAGUUAAUACCUUGCUGUUUUGACGUUACCGACAGAAUAAGCACCGGCUAACUUCGUGCCAGCAGCCGCGGUAAUACGAAGGGUGCUAGCGUUAAUCGGAAUUACUGGGCGUAAAGCGCGCGUAGGUGGUUUUGUAAGUUGGAGGUGAAAUCCCCGGGCUCAACCUGGGAACUGCCUCCAAAACUGCAUGACUAGAGUACGGUAGAGGGUAGUGGAAUUUCCUGUGUAGCGGUGAAAUGCGUAGAUAUAGGAAGGAACACCAGUGGCGAAGGCGACUACCUGGACUGAUACUGACACUGAGGUGCGAAAGCGUGGGGAGCAAACAGGAUUAGAAACCCCGGUAGUCC